RNAcentral lists this ribosomal RNA (867 nucleotides) under Triticum aestivum (bread wheat). RNAcentral's name for it is "partial small subunit ribosomal RNA". The record is from RNAcentral. Lineage: Eukaryota; Viridiplantae; Streptophyta; Magnoliopsida; Poales; Poaceae.
AUGUCGACCUCCUGGCAUGCCGGCGGCAAUGGUCUCCCCUCCGUUUCCGGCUCCGCUUCCUCCAUCGUCGCCCGCGCCGUGAGCGGCUACCACGUGCUCAAGAUCGACGGCUACUCACGCACCAAGGAGGUCCCCAAUGGCGAGUGGAUCGACUCCUGCCCGUUCCAGGUGGGAGGCCGCACAUGGCAUCUUCGUUACUAUCCCAACGGGAACAAGACAGAAGAUAUCGAUUACAUACCCUUCUUUGUCACACUCGAUGAUACCGUCGCCGAGGGCGAGGCCGUGAAGGCGCAAGCCAACUUCAGCUUGCUCGACCAAGACGGGAAUCCGGUGCUGCCUUAUCGCUGGGGAACUGGUACCAGAAACUUCUCGGUGGAAAAAUCUUGGGGAUUCGACAAGUACAUCAAAAGGGACGAGUUGGAGAAAUCAGAGCUUCUCAAGGACGAUUCCUUCACUGCCAAGGUCGAUGUCACUGUCAUGAGCGAGUUCCCCGCACGGAAGACACCAUCCGUCGUGGUGCCACCGUCCGACAUACACCGGCACCUCGGGGACCUCCUGUCGAGCAAGGCGGGCGUCGAUGUCGAAUUCCGGGUCGGCGGGGAGACAUUCUCGGCGCACCGAUUGGUGCUCGCGGCACGGUCUCCGGUCUUCAGAGCAGAGUUCUUUGGGCCCAUGAAGGAGGGCACAACCACUGAGGCCAUAUGUAUAGAUGACAUUGAGGCAGAGGUGUUCAAGCCUUCAAGGCUCUGCUUGCUUUCAUGUACACGGAUGCAUUGCCUGAUAUGGAUCAACAGGAGGAAUCGGCCAUGGCCCAGCAUUCGGCCGAAAUUUAAGAGAAAUUUUGCAAUCAACGGAGGAAAAGUGUAG